UACAGAGGGUGCAAGCGUUAAUCGGAAUUACUGGGCGUAAAGCGCGCGUAGGUGGUUCGUUAAGUUGGAUGUGAAAUCCCCGGGCUCAACCUGGGAACUGCAUUCAAAACUGUCGAGCUAGAGUAUGGUAGAGGGUGGUGGAAUUUCCUGUGUAGCGGUGAAAUGCGUAGAUAUCAGGAGGAACACCUGUGGUGUAGACGGCUCUCUGGACCGCAACUGACGCUGAGACACGAAAGCGUGGGUAGCAAACAGG
This 253-nucleotide ribosomal RNA is filed under the name uncultured prokaryote. RNAcentral describes it as "partial 16S ribosomal RNA". It matches the Rfam family "Bacterial small subunit ribosomal RNA", at positions 524 to 776 of the family's 1533-position model. The record is from RNAcentral.